Molecule: transfer RNA, 66 nt
Filed under: Nicrophorus nepalensis
Lineage: Eukaryota; Metazoa; Arthropoda; Insecta; Coleoptera; Silphidae
Description: tRNA-Pro
Source: RNAcentral
CAGAGAAUAGUUUAAAACAAAAAUUUUAAUUUUGGAGAUUAAAGAUGGGAGAUUUCCUUUCUCUGA